GUGGACCCCCAUCAAACUUGGAUUUUGUAGGUAGUUGCGAAUGAACACAAAUUUGAUCACUUUGGCAAUCUGUACACAUUGCUGUGUAACAAUUUGUAUACGUUGGCACAGUGCUAUCAAAGCUGCAUGCAAGUGUUUUUUGAAAGGAUACAACAUGGGAUGUGAUAUUCAUGUGUGUGUGCCUGCUUUGUCCACAGCCUGUGCUGUAUGAAUCACAUUUCUUGCAACUGAAAUGCUAAUGGCAUGGUAAAGUUCAUGUGACAUGACACAAGCUUGAGAUUCAUGAUGUGCAAGUACCAUGAGGGAAAUGUGAAAAGGACUUUGGAAAGAGAAUUAAAUAAAGCCUGCAUUUGCUGACAAUGAAAGCAAGUGUGGAUGUUCAUGUAAUUGUUACUGCAUCAAUCAAUGUUCAUCUUGGUUACUGCAUGCUUUAUAUUACAGCUCAGAACAUGAAGUGUGUGUAACAGCUCUGCUUUGAUUUUUCCCACAUGGGAUCAGUUGAAACAUUGUGAGAGCACUCUUCAGUUUCCUUAUGUACCCACCAGCUUUGUCCACUCGCGUGUUGGCACACAUGUAAUGAUGAUGUGUUUAUGCAAGAUACUUCUGUGCUCAACAACAUGUUGUGUCAAUCCUCACUUG
Molecule: ribosomal RNA, 639 nt
Filed under: Ostreopsis ovata
Lineage: Eukaryota; Dinophyceae; Peridiniales; Ostreopsidaceae
Description: eukaryotic LSU rRNA
Rfam family: Eukaryotic large subunit ribosomal RNA
Source: RNAcentral